AAAAGUCCGUUGAAUACUUAUUAAAUAUAAGAGUGCCAAGUGUGCAAUAUCCAACUGAUAUCCGCAAGUUAAAGCGAUGGGAUCACACUUGGCAUUGUCGUAAAAGAUGCAGACUACUCUUCAGAUAAGGCGGGGGUCUGUUUAAGAAGUGCAAGAGUAGUGUAUCGGUAUAACUCAUACCAAUUAAUAACAGGGGUGCUUGAGUGUAACUACACAGUCCAGUGGAGUUAGUACACCCAAGCUAGUAUGUCCACUUAGCGCAGUACCUCCCUCCAUGUAGUGCAUGGAGGUGCUAGCCCCAGUGCAGAAACUGAAGAGCCACACUAGCGUCCAGUUCUUGUUGGCUCCAUUGUGUUCAGCUUGUUUCUGAUGUUGUUCUACCAGUCUUGACACACAAGGUGACACUAGUAGUACUGUCAAUAUACACUAACGGCUAAAUAUCAAAGUCCUUCUUUGCCUUUAUUUGUCACUGUUAUGGUGACACAGGGCAUCAAUGUUCAUUGGGAACAUUCCUGUUCCCAAUCAGCAUUUCACAACAAGGGACGGACGUCUUCCCUGGUAACCUUGGAUAGGUACAGCUUAGGCAUCUGGAUAUGAAAGAGUUGUCUUCACACCUUCUAUACUUUGUGGGUGUAAAGUGGCAUUUGUGGGACUUAAUUAAUGUUGCUGUGAGGUAGAUAUCUAACCUAAGGUCAGAUGUAUUGUGACUUAAAAGGGCCUGUUCCACUCCACUAAUUAAUAAGACUCUCAAUUAAUAUCUGAGGUAUACACAACCACAUUUUGGAAGUCCAAAGUUAGGUAAGAUAAAUGUGAUAGCUGCAGUCUCGUCCUGUCUGAAAAGUAGAGUCGCCAUUGUUCCACAGAGCAUGAAGUUGAGGUGGGACACGUGCUUGAGAUCAAAAUGCAGCUCACUGGAAGACCUUUAUGAGUCCAUAUUCUAGAGCUUUUCAUGUGCCUGUCUUAUGGGGAAGAGAACUACAGUACCUCCAUAGGAUGUUGCUUUAAGGAGAAUAUUGUGUUUUGAUCAGGCUUCUUAUACCGCUUUUGCUGACACAUUUCACAGAUUUCGCAUUUAGGCAUCUGAAGUUUGGUUCUAGCCUAUAUAUAAGCACUAAAAUAACUGUGUCCUGAUUUCCUAAUGUGCUAACUUAUUUGGAGGCAAGUGGGCUGAAUAUCUCUGACAAGCCGGUCACUUUUAUUUAAGUCAUCGUAAUGGAAAAUUUUGGUGAGAAGGGCUCAUUGAGGUUGCGCUGCCAAGGUGAUGUUCCUUGUAAAUCUGCUUCAGGAGAGACUUCAGGAGAGUAUAAAUGUUGCUUUCCACUUAGUGAAAGAUAAAGUCUAGCAUUCUGUCACUCAAACAAAAAUUGCUAGUCCUGGUACUAUUUUGGGGGGAAUGGAGAAGACUUUGGGUGCCUUAUGCAGCCUCACUUAAAAUGAAGGGAAAGGCUAAGAAAAUGGUAAUAACUGGGAAUCCCUUAAACUAUGCACCCAUACCAUCUAACCAUGCCUCUUCAUCCUUUCUUGCAGCCGCUUACCAGAAAUAGAGCUAGGAUGGUGAACUACAGAUCAUAUGGCCUCCAGAAGUAGAAUCAUAUGCAGACAAAAAAAUGUCAGCAAUGCUGACUUCGUGCACAUGUUUGACAGCCAGCAGUGCUCUCAGAAGCGCCUGAUAUUGAGGCUUGAGGCUUAAAUUUUCUCUGUCUCCUAGCACUCUGAGGUGGAAUACUGCAGUAAUGCAGGAUCUGGUUAAUAGCUUGCUGAUGCACAACUCCUUAAGAGUAAGUCAGAGGUGUAAUUACAGAUUGCUUUGUAACUUGCCAGUUUGUGUCAUGAGUAUGGGCAUUUAAACAUUCUGUACUUUCAGACACAUUUUAUUUCCUCCUUACCACACCGUGUAGUUAGACUAAGGCCUUGCCACUGGCUAUCUCUUUACAGAAGCAGUUGGUUUAAUGUGGGAAUAUUUACAUUUCUGCAAGAAAAAACGAGAGUGUAAAAUGUAGAUACUGUAUGAGCAGGUGCACUGCAAGCCCAAGAAGAAAAUUGGUUCAGCAGUUGUUUGCCAUCAUGGUUUUAGAUUAAUUCCUACUGCAUAUCACUGCAGGACUAGCAAUGAACAUUUCUUGUACGUUUUACUGAAUUACUAUCAGUGUGAUUUUUUUUUCCACAGGGGCCUGGGAUUGGGCAAUGUUUAUAGCAGUCCAGAUGUGAAGGCUGGUUCCUCAUUAAGUCACCCUGAUCUUCUAAUCCCAGGGGUGUUCACAAAAGAAGUUCCAAAUAAAUGUCAGCAGAAGUAAGCGGAUGCAGCAAAUGUCCUUAGCGUUCCAGACCUUGAAAUGCAGCUAAUUGGUUAGGCAGAAGUAUGCGCUUAUUUCCCAUCCUAUUCAGGACAAAGUGCAAGCUUCUACCUGAAUUACUUCAAAAUCAGAUGCUUAAAUCCUGGUCUAUGACAUCUUAAGUUCAUUUUUGUGUUUCUGAUUAUGUAAAACAUACCACACUAUUCCUUUCUGUAUCUAUUCGGUAUCUGUUCAUUUUAACCUAUUAAAAAUGCAUUUUAAUGACUUCUAUUCCUGCUAGUCCUGAAGAGAUAAAGGAUCUGGGAACAGUAAUUGGGCUCUAUUUUCUUGUUCAUCAGCCUACCUGUUAGUGGCUUCCAUUGCAGAACUGCCCUUACACCAAUACAGUGAUGCCGUGUAAUGUUUGGUUCCUAAAUUGCUCUUGCAGGGCUAGGUUGGAAAAAUGCAAUCUUUUUUUUUUUUGAUCUGAGGCUUGACUGAAAUGAUUAUAUUUGUGUGUCUGUCUAGGUUCAGCUCUUCCCCCGUGGCUGUGCUGGCGGAUCACAAGUUACUGUUCUUGCUAGCGUUCACCAUUUCCUGCCAGCAUUUCUUAACUGGAAGAGUUAGUUCGAUAUCAAGAGCUCCUCCUUGUACAUGUUUCUAAUGUAGCCAUUAUCCUUGCUAGUCUGAGCACUUACCCUGUUCCAGAGGGUGCUUCUGUGCAUACUUUUCCACAUGCCUCACACCCUGUCUGGACCCUGUGGCUGUGAAACUGCACAACCUGUUAAGGUAAACUCCAUCAACAGGUUACUUACAGAAAAUCAAUGCCCAGCGAGCGCAUCCAGGAAGCCUGAGUCUGAUCACUGUUGCUGUGAGCUGCUUGUGAUGUGGAGGAAGGGAAAAUGCUCUCCCGCAGUUGUGAAGGCCACCUCACGUCUGCCAGGUAUGGGGAAGUUACUCUGACGGGGAGUUCGCCUCAUCAGCCUGGCCUGGAUAGUGGCUGUGCACCGGGAGGACUUAAUUCAUACUGCAAGUACCGGUUCUGAGUUUGGGUUGGAUCCAAUAUCAGCUAAAAUUUAGUGAAACUGCUCUCAUAUUCUGUGAAAGGAACAAGAAUUUCAUCCACAGUUGCUGAAUUUUUCAAAGUGAAGGAAAAAGGACGUUACAUAGAGGUAUCACUUCAAGAAUAUCGGAGGCCAUAAGAUGUAGGCAACAAAGGAGAAGAAGGGCUAUACAGAAGGCCUAAGGAUGAUUUGCACUCUUGUAGGAUGCUGGAGAUUCUCGGCUUGGAUGAACUCCAUGGGAACUGAGGCCAGGAAGAAUCUCGUCUCUCCUCCUUAUCAAAACCAAUGCAUCAGAUAGCUAUCUCUCUCAGAUGAUAAUGACAUGAUAUAAAUACUCUCCUAUCAUCUAAAGAGGUGUGUCUCUCUGUCAUCACCUUUUUCAUUUACUUAAACUGUGUAGUAAUAUCCAAAUCACAAGAGAAUUUUUCUAUUUUUUGGGAUGGGCUGGGCAGAGUUAAAAUUAGCAAUUCCAAUCUAUCACUUUAAUUAUAUUCUCUUCUAACAGAAACUUCAUCCUUCCAGCUCCUUGUGAGGCAGUAACAUGUGUGUACUCUUGUGAUUGACUGACCAUGCCUCUGGUUUUUGUUGUUGGUUUUGAAGUAGUUGAAGAAGCAAUACAUACUGGCAAAUCAGCAGAAUAUUCUGUACUCUGAAUAUCUAAAUAAAGUCCACGAUUGUGCAGAGGAAAGAUUUCUGAAUGCUACAAACAGAGGUAACAAGCAGAAUGGCUAUGCAGAUACCUGAUGGGUCUAUUGGUUGUCAUGGCACUCGGUGCAAAGGAGCAGAGCUAUCCCAGCCCCAUGCUGGGGGAAUUAAAAAUGAAAAUGAGAAAGAUUAGCACGACUGUCCAAAGCGUCUCCAGGAGCUGCUCCUACCCUGCAGCCGGUGCUGCAUGGCACACGCGGUACGUGGAGGGCUCCAGCCCCCUGACCUGCCUGCCGCUUGGCCACGGGUGCAGCUCAAUCCAGGCACCACAUGCUGCACGCUGUUAUUUUCCCACCCCUUAUUUAUAAAGUGCAGUUUAAGGAAUCUCAGCCAAUAUUCAUAAUUUUUAGUGAUCUCUCAAGAGCCACUCACAGGCAUUGUUCAGGGAAGGAGAGUGGUGGGCUUGUAUCACCAGUGGUCUGGGGUGGGGGAAUGUGGAGAUCUGGCUAUUUGCAGAUCACACACCCUCUAGAAGCUGUUGUCAUCAUGGAAGCUUUUGGUUUUUUUAAACUUGGGGCUAGUUGCCAAAGAAUAAGUACAACCUAAGCAUAGAUGCCAUGCUGGAAGCUUCCCAGCUGGCAGUCAGCUGCCAAUCCAGAAGGGUCUCCGUCUUCCCUAAGUUACCCAUUGUGUCGCGCUGGCCCUGGACUCGUUU
Molecule: non-coding RNA, 4697 nt
Organism: Phalacrocorax carbo (great cormorant)
Lineage: Eukaryota; Metazoa; Chordata; Aves; Suliformes; Phalacrocoracidae
Source: RefSeq, a predicted model, not a curated record